UCUAUAGCUCAGUCAGUAGAGCGUGCGCUUGUUGAGCAUUAGGUUGCAAGUUCGAUUCCU
This 60-nucleotide transfer RNA is filed under the name Chattonella subsalsa. Lineage: Eukaryota; Raphidophyceae; Chattonellales; Chattonellaceae. The record is from RNAcentral.